RNAcentral lists this ribosomal RNA (699 nucleotides) under uncultured Bacteroidales bacterium. RNAcentral's name for it is "bacterial SSU rRNA". It matches the Rfam family "Bacterial small subunit ribosomal RNA", at positions 62 to 750 of the family's 1533-position model. Lineage: Bacteria; Pseudomonadati; Bacteroidota; Bacteroidia; Bacteroidales. The record is from RNAcentral.
UCGAGGGGCAGCAUGGUCUUAGCUUGCUAAGGCCGAUGGCGACCGGCGCACGGGUGAGUAACACGUAUCCAACCUGCCGUCUACUCUUGGACAGCCUUCUGAAAGGAAGAUUAAUACAAGAUGGCAUCAUGAGUCCACAUGUUCACAUGAUUAAAGGUAUUCCGGUAGACGAUGGGGAUGCGUUCCAUUAGAUAGUAGGCGGGGUAACGGCCCACCUAGUCUUCGAUGGAUAGGGGUUCUGAGAGGAAGGUCCCCCACAUUGGAACUGAGACACGGUCCAAACUUCUACGGGAGGCAGCAGUGAGGAAUAUUGGUCAAUGGGCGCAGGCCUGAACCAGCCAAGUAGCGUGAAGGAUGACUGCCCUAUGGGUUGUAAACUUCUUUUAUAAAGGAAUAAAGUCGGGUAUGGAUACCCGUUUGCAUGUACUUUAUGAAUAAGGAUCGGCUAACUCCGUGCCAGCAGCCGCGGUAAUACGGAGGAUCCGAGCGUUAUCCGGAUUUAUUGGGUUUAAAGGGAGCAUAGAUGGAUGUUUAAGUCAGUUGUGAAAGUUUGCGGCUCAACCGUAAAAUUGCAGUUGAUACUGGAUAUCUUGAGUGCAGUUGAGGCAGGCGGAAUUCGUGGUGUAGCGGUGAAAUGCUUAGAUAUCACGAAGAACUCCGAUUGCGAAGGCAGCCUGCUAAGCUGCAACUGACAUUGAG